Molecule: non-coding RNA, 27 nt
Filed under: Cricetulus griseus (Chinese hamster)
Lineage: Eukaryota; Metazoa; Chordata; Mammalia; Rodentia; Cricetidae
Source: RNAcentral
UGGUUCCAGAAUGCUCAGUUACUCACU